UACGUAGGGGGCGAGCGUUGUCCGGAAUCAUUGGGCGUAAAGGGCGCGUAGGCGGCCGCUCAAGUCGGGGGUGAAAUCUUUCAGCUCAACUGGAAAAUAGCCUCCGAUACUGGGCGGCUGGAGGGAGAUAGGGGUGCGCGGAACUUCCGGUGGAGCGGUGAAAUGCGUAGAUAUCGGAAGGAACGCCGGUGGCGAAAGCGGCGCACUGGAUCUCAUCUGACGCUGAGGCGCGAAAGCCAGGGGAGCAAACGGG
Molecule: ribosomal RNA, 253 nt
Filed under: uncultured bacterium
Lineage: Bacteria
Description: partial 16S ribosomal RNA
Rfam family: Bacterial small subunit ribosomal RNA
Source: RNAcentral